Molecule: ribosomal RNA, 233 nt
Filed under: uncultured bacterium
Lineage: Bacteria
Description: partial small subunit ribosomal RNA
Rfam family: Bacterial small subunit ribosomal RNA
Source: RNAcentral
AGGAUGAACGCUGGCGGUCUGCUUAACACAUGCAAGUCGAACGGAGUAGAAAUACUUAGUGGCGGACGGGUGAGUAACGCGUGAGAAUCUACCUUCAGGACGGAGACAACAGUUGGAAACGACUGCUAACCCCCGAUGUACUGAAAAGGCAAAUAUUUAUAGCCUGAAGAAGAGCUCGCGUCCGAUUAGCUAGUUGGAGAGGUAAAAGCUCACCAAGGCGACGAUCGGUAGCU